GAAUUUUGGACAAUGGGGGCAACCCUGAUCCAGCCAUCCCGCGUGUGCGAUGAAGGCCUUCGGGUUGUAAAGCACUUUUGGCAGGGAAGAAAAGGCCCUGGCUACUACCUGGAGCUGCUGACGGUACCUGCAGACUAAGCCCCGGCUAACUACGUGCCCGCAGCCGCGGUAAUACGUCGGGGGCAAGCGGUGAUCGGAAUUACUGGGCGGAAAGCGUGCGCAGGCGGUUAGGCAAGAAGGAUGUGAAAUCCCAGGGCUUAACCUUGGAACUGCAUACUUAACUGCCAGGCUAGAGUAUGUCAGGGGGGGGUAGAAUUCCACGUGUAGCAGUGAAAUGCGUAGAGAUGUGGAGGAAUACCGAUGGCGAAGGCAGCCCCCUGGGAUAAUACUGACGCUCAUGCACGAAAGCGUGGGGAGCAAACAG
Molecule: ribosomal RNA, 424 nt
Filed under: uncultured bacterium
Lineage: Bacteria
Description: partial 16S ribosomal RNA
Rfam family: Bacterial small subunit ribosomal RNA
Source: RNAcentral